Molecule: ribosomal RNA, 1280 nt
Filed under: Salmonella enterica subsp. enterica
Lineage: Bacteria; Pseudomonadati; Pseudomonadota; Gammaproteobacteria; Enterobacterales; Enterobacteriaceae
Description: bacterial LSU rRNA
Rfam family: Bacterial large subunit ribosomal RNA
Source: RNAcentral
GGGUUGUGAGGUUAAGCGACUAAGCGUACACGGUGGAUGCCCUGGCAGUCAGAGGCGAUGAAGGACGUGCUAAUCUGCGAUAAGCGCCGGUAAGGUGAUAUGAACCGUUAUAACCGGCGAUUUCCGAAUGGGGAAACCCAGUGUGACUCGUCACACUAUCAUUAACUGAAUCCAUAGGUUAAUGAGGCGAACCGGGGGAACUGAAACAUCUAAGUACCCCGAGGAAAAGAAAUCAACCGAGAUUCCCCCAGUAGCGGCGAGCGAACGGGGAGGAGCCCAGAGCCUGAAUCAGCAUGUGUGUUAGUGGAAGCGUCUGGAAAGGCGCGCGAUACAGGGUGACAGCCCCGUACACAAAAGCGCAUGUGCUGUGAGCUCGAUGAGUAGGGCGGGACACGUGGUAUCCUGUCUGAAUAUGGGGGGACCAUCCUCCAAGGCUAAAUACUCCUGACUGACCGAUAGUGAACCAGUACCGUGAGGGAAAGGCGAAAAGAACCCCGGCGAGGGGAGUGAAAAAGAACCUGAAACCGUGUACGUACAAGCAGUGGGAGCCCCACCACCAAAGCAUUCUCUGGUGUUGAAGGCCCUGCAAAGCAGCAUCGCGGUGGCGGAGCGUCGUUUGCGACGCCCAACACACAAAACAAGCGGUGAGUGCUUUGGGGUGGGGUGACUGCGUACCUUUUGUAUAAUGGGUCAGCGACUUAUAUUCUGUAGCAAGGUUAACCGUAUAGGGGAGCCGAAGGGAAACCGAGUCUUAACUGGGCGUUAAGUUGCAGGGUAUAGACCCGAAACCCGGUGAUCUAGCCAUGGGCAGGUUGAAGGUUGGGUAACACUAACUGGAGGACCGAACCGACUAAUGUUGAAAAAUUAGCGGAUGACUUGUGGCUGGGGGUGAAAGGCCAAUCAAACCGGGAGAUAGCUGGUUCUCCCCGAAAGCUAUUUAGGUAGCGCCUCGUGAACUCAUCUUCGGGGGUAGAGCACUGUUUCGGCUAGGGGGUCAUCCCGACUUACCAACCCGAUGCAAACUGCGAAUACCGAAGAAUGUUAUCACGGGAGACACACGGCGGGUGCUAACGUCCGUCGUGAAGAGGGAAACAACCCAGACCGCCAGCUAAGGUCCCAAAGUCACAGUUAAGUGGGAAACGAUGUGGGAAGGCUCAGACAGCCAGGAUGUUGGCUUAGAAGCAGCCAUCAUUUAAAGAAAGCGUAAUAGCUCACUGGUCGAGUCGGCCUGCGCGGAAGAUGUAACGGGGCUAAACUGUGCACCGAAGCUGCGGCAGCGA